This 706-nucleotide long non-coding RNA is filed under the name Homo sapiens (human). RNAcentral's name for it is "HSALNT0382122". Lineage: Eukaryota; Metazoa; Chordata; Mammalia; Primates; Hominidae. The record is from RNAcentral.
UAGAGGCCAUACAAUAAAUGUUGCUUUGGGAAAUUCUGAGGCAAGAAAAAGCACUUCUGUCUGAAGGGAUCAGAAAAGGUUUCGCCUUCACUGGCAUUAGAGUUGAGGAGCGCAGGUUCCAAAUCUCUGUGGAAGGACUUAAGCCAGGUAAAAUGAAUGACAUCAUGCAAAGGCAAAGGAAAGAAUUUCUGCGUAUGUGUGUUUUUUUAAGAUCUGAAAGUCUACCAAAAAAUUUUAGCCUCAAAGUAACAAGACUCCCUGGGUAUUGACUGAAGGUCAGGAAAUCGGCAUGUGGCUUUGUGAAGUUUAAUUAACAGCAAGUUUUCCUAUCCAGCAUCACGAAGAGGCCCAGUCAGCUCUAGGGGCCCCCAGGAAAGAAACAACAUAUUGCUCCAAAGUUAUUACCGAUGAAAUGCAAGUAGCCUCCAACAAAGCAUGGGAAAGGAGGAGCUGAAAAAACAAAUGAUUCCUACCUGCAGCCAGGGACAGUUUCCAGGGGAGGUGGGAAUGUGUGGGUAAAACUUGUGAUCCAGGCCUGAUCCAGGCUGUCCUGUUUCAAAAUGAACGAACCUUUCAAACAAACACACAUACAUCCAUGUGUGCACAUGCAAACACACACACGUACUCCUGUACACACAUGAACAUGGACACACAGACAACAAAUUAUAGAAAGGGACACAAGUCUCUAAAUCCCAAAAAUUAUCUA